GAUGAACGCUAGCGACAGGCCUAACACAUGCAAGUCGAGGGGCAGCACGGUGUAGCAAUACACGGGUGGCGACCGGCGCACGGGUGAGUAACGCGUAUGCAACCUGCCUACUACAAGGGGAUAACCCGUUGAAAGACGGACUAAAUACCCUAUAACACAGGGAAUCCGCAUGGAUAUAUUUGUUAAAGAUUUAUCGGUAGUAGAUGGGCAUGCGUUCCAUUAGACUUGUUGGUGAGGUAACGGCUCACCAAGGCAACGAUGGAUAGGGGAACUGAGAGGUUGAUCCCCCACACUGGAACUGAGACACGGUCCAGACUCCUACGGGAGGCAGCAGUGACCCCCCGGAAUAUUGGUCAAUGGACGAGAGUCUGAACCAGCCAAGUCGCGUGAAGGAAGACGGCCCUACGGGUUGUAAACUUCUUUUGUAAGGGAAUAAAUAGUCUUACGCGCUAAGACGUUGCAGGUACCUUAACGAAUAAGGAUCGGCUAACUCCGUG
This 497-nucleotide ribosomal RNA is filed under the name uncultured bacterium. RNAcentral's name for it is "bacterial SSU rRNA". It matches the Rfam family "Bacterial small subunit ribosomal RNA", at positions 28 to 507 of the family's 1533-position model. The record is from RNAcentral.